ACACCCUCAAGCACUGCUUGGUGUUGGGCGUCUGUCCCGCCACGGCGCGGACUCGCCUCAAAAGCAUUGGCGGCACGUGUACUGGUCCCAGCGCAGCAAAUGCGGCUCGGGAGCGCGCGCGUGCGUCCAUCAAGAUCUCCCAA
RNAcentral lists this unclassified non-coding RNA (143 nucleotides) under uncultured Pleosporales. RNAcentral's name for it is "sequence contains ITS2". Lineage: Eukaryota; Fungi; Ascomycota; Dothideomycetes; Pleosporales. The record is from RNAcentral.